CCGUGACCUGUAGGGAGAAGAAAUCCUGGGUAGUCUGUUCAGUGUAGGGUCUACCCGCCCUUCCUCCCCACGUUCCAUCCGCCUCGCAAGACGACUCCCCCUGUAAUCUGCUCCCCUCGAUUGAACCUGGAAUCUCCUUUCUGGCGAACCAGAUGUGCUACGCUGACUCCUCUGCGUUCUAUCCCUAGACGUGGACCUCCCGCAGUCUUCCCUGCAACAGGACCUAGCUGCGCUGCAUCUGCUCCGCGCCGGUGACCUCUCACCGCUUCCUUGACUCCCUGCUCUGCUCCUCGUGCUGCUGCGCCUGACGCUCGCACAGCGCCGUUC
Pelobates cultripes (western spadefoot toad) is the source of this 327-nucleotide non-coding RNA. Lineage: Eukaryota; Metazoa; Chordata; Amphibia; Anura; Pelobatidae. The record is from the annotation of a GenBank genome assembly.